Molecule: ribosomal RNA, 498 nt
Filed under: uncultured bacterium
Lineage: Bacteria
Description: partial 16S ribosomal RNA
Rfam family: Bacterial small subunit ribosomal RNA
Source: RNAcentral
AUUGAACGCUGGCGGCAUGCCUUACACAUGCAAGUCGAACGGUAACAGGUCUUUGGAUGCUGAAGAGUGGCGAACGGGUGAGUAAUACAUCGGAACGUGCCUAGUUGUGGGGGAUAACUACUCUCAAGAGUGGCUAAAACAGCACGAGAUCUAUGGAUGAAAGCAGGGGAUCGCAAGACACUGUGCUACAAUAGCGGACGAUGGGAGAUUAGGUAGUUGGUGGGAUAAAAGCUUACCAAGCCGACGAUCUGUAGCUGGUCUGAGAGGACGAUCAGCCACACUGGGACUGGGACACGGCCCAGACUCCUGCGGGAGGCAGCAGUGGGGAAUUUUGGACAAUGGGCGCAAGCCUGAUCCAGCAAUGCCGCGUGCAGGAUGAAGGCCUUCGGGUUGUAAACUGCUUUUAGACGGAACGAAAAGCCCCGGGUUAAUACCCUGGGGUCAUGACGGUACCGUAAGAAUAAGCACCGGCUAACUACGUGCCAGCAGCCGCCGUAA